This 405-nucleotide ribosomal RNA is filed under the name uncultured bacterium. RNAcentral's name for it is "partial 16S ribosomal RNA". It matches the Rfam family "Bacterial small subunit ribosomal RNA", at positions 28 to 526 of the family's 1533-position model. The record is from RNAcentral.
GAUGAACGCUGGCGGCGUGCCUAAUACAUGCAAGUCGAGCGAAGCGGGGACGGGUGAGUAACAUGUGGAUAACCUCCUAUAAGACGGGGAUAACUUCGGGAAAACGGUGCUAAACCGGCUACUGAUAGCUGGAUCCGGGUUGCAUUAGCUAGUUGGUAAGGUAACGGCUUACCAAGGCAACGAGGCAUAGCCGACCUGAGAGGGUGAUCGGCCACACUGGAACUGAGACACGGUCCAGACUCCUACGGGAGGCAGCAGUAGGGAAUCUUCCGCAAUGGGCGAAAGCCUGACGGAGCAAUGCCGCGUGUGUGAAGAAGGUCUUCGGAUCGUAAAACUCUGUUAUUAGGGAAGCGGUACCUAAUCAGAAAGCCACGGCUAACUACGUGCCAGCAGCCGCGGUAAUUC